Molecule: ribosomal RNA, 301 nt
Filed under: uncultured bacterium
Lineage: Bacteria
Description: partial 16S ribosomal RNA
Rfam family: Bacterial small subunit ribosomal RNA
Source: RNAcentral
CAGCCGCCGCGGUAACACGUAGGGUGCAAGCGUUAAUCGGAAUUACUGGGCGUAAAGCGUACGCAGGCGGUUAUAUAAGUCAGAUGUGAAAUCCCCGGGCUCAACCUGGGAACUGCAUUUGAGACUGUAUGGCUAGAGUGUGUCAGAGGGGGGUAGAAUUCCACGUGUAGCAGUGAAAUGCGUAGAGAUGUGGAGGAAUACCGAUGGCGAAGGCAGCCCCCUGGGAUAGCACUGACGUUCAUGCCCGAAAGCGUGGGUAGCAAACAGGAUUAGAUACCCCUGUAGUCCCUGUCUCUUAUAA